Molecule: ribosomal RNA, 426 nt
Filed under: uncultured bacterium
Lineage: Bacteria
Description: bacterial SSU rRNA
Rfam family: Bacterial small subunit ribosomal RNA
Source: RNAcentral
GGGGAAUUUUGGACAAUGGGCGAAAGCCUGAUCCAGCAAUGCCGCGUGUGUGAAGAAGGCCUUCGGGUUGUAAAGCACUUUUGUCCGGAAAGAAAUCCUCUGGGUUAAUACCUCGGGGGGAUGACGGUACCGGAAGAAUAAGCACCGGCUAACUACGUGCCAGCAGCCGCGGUAAUACGUAGGGUGCAAGCGUUAGUCGGAAUUACUGGGCGUAAAGCGUGCGCAGGCGGUUUUGUAAGACGGAUGUGAAAUCCCCGGGCUUAACCUGGGAACUGCAUUCGUGACUGCAAGGCUAGAGUAUGGCAGAGGGGGGUAGAAUUCCACGUGUAGCAGUGAAAUGCGUAGAGAUGUGGAGGAAUACCGAUGGCGAAGGCAGCCCCCUGGGCCAAUACUGACGCUCAUGCACGAAAGCGUGGGGAGCAAACA